Molecule: ribosomal RNA, 492 nt
Filed under: uncultured bacterium
Lineage: Bacteria
Description: partial 16S ribosomal RNA
Rfam family: Bacterial small subunit ribosomal RNA
Source: RNAcentral
AGUGAACGCUGGCGGUAGGCCUAACACAUGCAAGUCGAACGGCAGCACAGUAAGAGCUUGCUCUUACGGGUGGCGAGUGGCGGACGGGUGAGGAAUACAUCGGCAUCUACUUUUUCGUGGGGGAUAACGUAGGGAAACUUACGCUAAUACCGCAUACGACCUACGGGUUAAAGCAGGGGAUCUUCGGACCUUUCGCGAUUGAAUGAGCCGAUGUCGGAUUAGCUAGUUUGCGGGGUAAAGGCCCACCAAGGCGACGAUCCGUAGCUGGUCUGAGAGGAUGAUCAGCCACACUGGAACUGAGACACGGGCCAGACUCCUACGGGAGGCAGCAGUGGGGAAUAUUGGACAAUGGGCGCAAGCCUGAUCCAGCCAUACCGCGUGGGGGAAGAAGGCCUUCGGGUUGGAAAGCCCUUUUGUUGGGAAAGAAAAGCAGCAGGUUAAUACCCCGCUGUUCUGACGGUACCCAAAGAAUAAGCACCGGCUAACUUCGUG